UAGAACGAGAAUCCGUCGGAAGUGCGACC
This 29-nucleotide non-coding RNA is filed under the name Bombyx mori (domestic silkworm). Lineage: Eukaryota; Metazoa; Arthropoda; Insecta; Lepidoptera; Bombycidae. The record is from RNAcentral.